Molecule: ribosomal RNA, 642 nt
Filed under: Antrodia heteromorpha
Lineage: Eukaryota; Fungi; Basidiomycota; Agaricomycetes; Polyporales; Fomitopsidaceae
Description: eukaryotic LSU rRNA
Rfam family: 5.8S ribosomal RNA (bases 238-391)
Source: RNAcentral
GUAACAAGGUUUCCGUAGGUGAACCUGCGGAAGGAUCAUUAUUGAAUUUUGAAUGGGGUUGUAGCUGGCCUUUCAAAGGGCAUGUGCACGCCUCGCUUCAAUCCACUUACCCCUGUGAACACUCUGUAGGUCGGCUCAAGGGACAAAUYCUUAACGGGGUUUGUUUUGGGCCUUCCUAUGUUUUAUUACAAACGUUUAAAGUCUAAAGAAUGUACUCGCGUCUAACGCAUUAUAUACAACUUUCAGCAACGGAUCUCUUGGCUCUCGCAUCGAUGAAGAACGCAGCGAAAUGCGAUAAGUAAUGUGAAUUGCAGAAUUCAGUGAAUCAUCGAAUCUUUGAACGCACCUUGCGCUCCUUGGUAUUCCGAGGAGCAUGCCUGUUUGAGUGUCAUGGAAUUAUCAACUUGUUUAUCUUUGUAUGAACGCAGUUGGAUUUGGAGGCCAUUGCCGGAUUGUAAUGACUCGGCUCCUCUUGAAUGCAUUAGCUCGAACCUUUGCGGAUCAGCUUUUGGUGUGAUAAUUGUCUACGCCGCUAACUGAGACRCAUGAAUGGGAUYGGCUUACAGUCGUCCUUGAACGGACAAUUUAUUAUGACUUCUGACCUCAAAUCAGGUAGGAUUACCCGCUGAACUUAAGCAUAUC